Molecule: long non-coding RNA, 2873 nt
Filed under: Citrus sinensis (sweet orange)
Lineage: Eukaryota; Viridiplantae; Streptophyta; Magnoliopsida; Sapindales; Rutaceae
Description: long non-coding RNA (CSIN_LNC004739)
Source: RNAcentral
ACAAACCAAACAAAACCCAUCACAGUACUUACGGGAAACAAAAUUUUAUAAACUGUUGCAUGUAUUCCUGAAGGGGCUGAGGGCGCUGUGCUUGUGCCGCCGUUGAUCAUUGUCAACGAAGAAGAUCAGCCCGUCCUUCUGCCUUCGUUGAUCGUUGCCGACGGUGGAGAUCAGCCCGUCCUUGUGCCGCCGUUGAUCGUUGCCUAGGAACUCCUUCAGCCGUCGCCGUUGAUGGCCGUGGUGAGGCGUGUGGUGAGGGAGUGGUGAGGCGUUUGGCGUGUGUGAGGUAAGUGAAUGAGUGGUGGGGUUUUUUUUUUUGUUUAUUUCAAUUUUAUAGGUUUGUUCUUUCAAAUUUUUUUAAUCAUUUAAUAAUUAAACAAAUCUCAGCCAUUGGAUCCACUCUAUCUGCUGUACCGUACAUCCGCCUUGGCCGUACAGCAGAAAAAAUAAACCAAUAGAGUACAAAAUCUCAUGACACAAUCCAAUUUCUCAGCAAGCAAUCACAAUUUAGCUAAAAAUCAACCCCUUAAUAAGAAAUUUAAUUUUGAAAACAAAAAGCUUUUAAUCAAAACCUCUAUUUAAUACAUAUGUAAGACAUAAUUGAAAUACAUAAAGAAGAAUCCUCGAGAAGAUAUGAAGAGAGAUUACCUUCCCUUUUAAACUAUUAAGCCGCCAUUGUUAACUUGUUAUAUAGGCACCCAAAAAAUCUCAAAUCUGCAAUAUAAAACAAUGAAAAUGUCAUUAUCUUAAGGGACAUGCAAUACUUGAGCUUGAAAUAGGUCUGAGAAUUUUAAUAGACAUUUUAUCGAACAGCUAACAUGCAUGUUGUAAUAUGCUAUUUCUAAAUCAAAGCGUGUAUUAGAUAAGGAUAUUUUACCUUAAAAUUUUAUAUCACAAAAAUAUCCUCAUAUAUAAUUACAAAACCAUCCUCUUUUAAUUUCUUAUCUCUCAUGUAUGUGCUUUGUGUAUAUAUUUCUCAUUAAAUUGAUUUUGGUUAAGGUAGAAGAGUGCUAUUCCAUGAAAUUAUAUAAUUUAUUAAUAGCUAAUUCAAUUGUAGAUGCUAUCGAAAUUAAAAAUGGUCUCUUGGUUACCAUAAGAAAAUUGAUUUUUCCCAGAAAGCAAUUAUGAACUACCAUUAAUUCCUUUCCGGUCCAAAAUAUUUGCAGGUGAACCAAUACUUUUCAAGGUGCCAGUUUCAUAUGCUAAAAAUUUUUGCAAUCGAUCAACUCAUUAACCUGCUGUACCGUACAUCCGCCUUGGCCGUACAGCAGUCAAUAUUAACCUAAAUCUAUUCCCUUGAAACUAUGAAAAUUACUUUACAUCAAAAUCAAAAUGGCAAAAACAGUUCAGGACUUUAAACACACUAUUCCUAGUUCCCAUUCCAAUAUACAUAUUACUUAUAAACAAUAAAAAGUUCCCAUUAAAAAAUGUUAUUAUAAUUUUACUCAAAUCAUCAUAUGCAGCUCAUGCAAAGAAAGAUGGCAAAAUUGAGGAAAUAAAAAGGUUUUGUGGAAACCAACAAACAAAACUAAAGAAUCAAAUAAAAAGGGGAAAAAAACGAUAAAUGAUUCCCAAAUUAAUAAUUUAGUUCACAUCUCUAAUUGAAAGCAAGGAACAAAGAAUUAUACAAGAAUCAUUGAUACCAAGUUUACUAGAUAACAAGACAAUAUAUCAUAUACACUGCUGCUUCAGUUUCCAGAAAUAAAGGAAAAUUCUGAUUACCAGUCAUGUUUAACUUUAGCUUGGUCACAGCAGUAAGAGCACAACCAAAAUCAUUAGAACAAGGGACAUAUAAACUGGCAAAAGAAAUGUCUGAUCCAGAAGAAACGUUGAAACCAAAACACUGAAAUUGCAACCUUGGCCAUACUCACUGCAGCAGCCACAUGCCUAAUUGCAUAUGCCACAACAACCUAUGCGCCACAAAAUUAACAACACACACCAAAUUAACUGCAAAUAAAAGCCAAAUCAUUGACCCCUUUUUUUUUCCAAAAAAAAGGAGUCGCAUAAAGGCAGGAAAAUAAUUUUAAAUGAAUUUAACAUAGCAACUACUUUCAUUACUGGGAUCAAGAGAAAAUAAAAGCUGUCAAUCUAAAAAUUAGAAAUUUUAAUUAGUUUUUCCUGAAAAUCAAAAUCUAAAACAACAGAAAACUUUUUUUUUUCUUAUCUUCACUUUCUCAGCAACCAAACAAACUUGUACUCAUCAUCAAAACCAACAUAAACCCUAAAAACAAAAAACAUUAUUUUCUUAAAAUUUCCUCACUUUUCUCACAAACCAAACAAAACCCAUCACAGUACUUACGGGAAACAAAAUUUCAUAAACUGUUGCAUGUAUUCCUGAAGGGGCUGAGGGCGCUGUGCUUGUGCCGCCGUUGAUCAUUGUCAACGAAGAAGAUCAGCUCGUCCUUCUACCUUUGUUGAUCGUUGCCGACGGUGGAGAUCAGCCCGUCCUUGUGCCGCUGUUGAUCAUUGCCUAGGAACUCCUUCAGCCGUCGCCGUUGAUGGCCGUGGUGAGGCGUGUGGUGAGGGAGUGGUGAGGCGUUUGGCGUGUGUGAGGUAAGUGAGUGAGUGGUGGGGUUUUUUUUUUUGUUUAUUUCAAUUUUAUAAGUUUGUUCUUUCAAAGUUUUUUAAUCAUUUAAUAAUUAAACAAAUCUCAGCUAUUGGAUCCACUCUAUUCAAUCCAACGGUAAUUUUUUAUUUACUGUAGCUAUCCCCUUUAACGGGUUGCCUUAUUUUUUUCUGCUUUUAUUCAUUUUUUCUCUCUUUUUUUUUUAAUUAAAACUACAACCCUUGGAUUCAAACAAGCUGAAUCCAACGGCUCAAAGGCAGCCCCUGCACCAUACAGAGAUUUUAUGCCCUGCAUGGUAGCCGUGUCC